GGCUCGAUGCUGCAGAGGUAGCGCACUCCGCACUGUUCACCCCAGUGUUUGAACAUUUCGGAGAGACCCGGAGUUCGAUCCUCCAUUGAGCCA
This is a non-coding RNA of Mycena latifolia, 93 nucleotides long. NCBI's taxonomy places the organism in Eukaryota, Fungi, Basidiomycota, Agaricomycetes, Agaricales, Mycenaceae. The record is from the annotation of a GenBank genome assembly.